GGGUAACGGGGUGUUAGGGCACGACACCGGAGAGGGAGCCUGAGAAACGGCUACCACAUCCAAGGAUGGCAGCAGGCGCGCAAAUUACCCAAUCCCGACACGGGGAGGUAGUGACAAUAAAUAACAAUACGGGGUCCUUUCGGGUUUCGUAAUUGGAAUGAGUACAAUUUAAAUCUCUUAACGAGGAACAAUUGGAGGGCAAGUCUGGUGCCAGCAGCCGCGGUAAUUCCAGCUCCAAUAGCGUAUAUUAAAGUUGUUGCAGUUAAAAAGCUCGUAGUUGAAUUUCGGGAUUAGUACGCUGGUCGUGCCUUCGGUAUGUACUGGUGUUACUGGUUCCUACCUUCUGACGAACCGUCAUGUCAUUAAUUUGGUGUGGCGGGGAAUCAGGACUGUUACCUUGAAAAAAUUAGAGUGUUUAAAGCAGGCUCGCGCUUGAAUACAUUAGCAUGGAAUAAUGAAAUAGGACGUUCGAUCCUAUUUUGUUGGUUUCUAGGAUUGACGUAAUGAUUAAUAGGGAUAGUUGGGGGCAUUAGUAUUCAAUUGUCAGAGGUGAAAUUCUUGGAUUUAUUGAAGACUAACUACUGCGAAAGCAUUUGCUAAGGAUGUUUUCAUUAAUCAAGAACGAAAGUUAGGGGAUCGAAGACGAUCAGAUACC
This 655-nucleotide ribosomal RNA is filed under the name uncultured Glomus. RNAcentral describes it as "SSU rRNA". It matches the Rfam family "Eukaryotic small subunit ribosomal RNA", at positions 357 to 1016 of the family's 1831-position model. The record is from RNAcentral. Lineage: Eukaryota; Fungi; Glomeromycota; Glomeromycetes; Glomerales; Glomeraceae.